Molecule: non-coding RNA, 76 nt
Organism: Podarcis lilfordi (Lilford's wall lizard)
Lineage: Eukaryota; Metazoa; Chordata; Lepidosauria; Squamata; Lacertidae
Source: the annotation of a GenBank genome assembly
GGAAACACUGAUUUAGAAGAAAGAGAACAUCUGCUUGGCAUGCAGAAGGUCCCAGGUUCAAUCCCUGGCAUCUCCA